GCAAACUUGGUCAUUUAGAGGAAGUAAAAGUCGUAACAAGGUCUCCGUAGGUGAACCUGCGGAGGGAUCAUUAUCGAGCUCGCGCCCCGUCAGGGGCGGACCUCCCACCCAUUGUUAUCGCUACCGUCGUUGCUUUGGCGGGCCGCGGGCCCGACCCGCUGCCGGCUCAGGCCGGCGCGCGCCCGCCAGAGGCUCCGCAGACCCUCCCGUCGGUGUCGUCCGAGCACAGCGCAAUCGUCAAAACUUUCAACAACGGAUCUCUUGGUUCCGGCAUCGAUGAAGAACGCAGC
This 290-nucleotide unclassified non-coding RNA is filed under the name uncultured fungus. Its description in RNAcentral is "partial contains small subunit ribosomal RNA, internal transcribed spacer 1, and 5.8S ribosomal RNA". The stretch from base 1 to 73 matches the Rfam family "Eukaryotic small subunit ribosomal RNA", at positions 1759 to 1831 of the family's 1831-position model. Lineage: Eukaryota; Fungi. The record is from RNAcentral.